CACCUCAUUCUGCUGGUUUCCAGGAGAGUAUGCUUCUUACUAACUCAGGAGAGGCUGUUCUGGAAGCCUGCGGAGGUGAUUCAGGAGAUCAUGGUUUAAACCAAGCUCAAAUAUAUUCAUUCUGGGGCUGAAACCAAAGAUCAGCUCAUCACCUCUGCUAGGAAAAUUGCGACUUCUGGACAAAACUUCGCCAAACUUAUCUGCAUCAUUGCUAAGAACUGCACAGAUCAAAGAUGUUCCCAGGAGCUUCUGUGUGCGGUAGAGCAGAUUCAGACAGUGAGCAGCCAGCUCCGCAUCAUCUCCGGUGUAAAGGCCUCCCUGGCCAGAAGCAAGUCCUCUGAAGAGCUCCUGGUAGAAAAUGCACAGCAGCUCCUCUGUGCUGUCUCCAAGACUGUGGGGGCUGCAGAAGCCGCAAGUCUCCGGGGUUUGAGACAAGCUUCCCCAGAUCCAGACGAACUGGAAGUUGCUGCCUUCUGCAUGGAGUGGAGGAGAAAACAGCUAAGGCACAGACUUCAAGAAACCUCAAACCUGGACUGUGAUGAGCUGGGCCUGCGAAAAACAAGCACUAAAGGGUCCCCAACACUUGCAGCCCUGGUUCAAGAAACAUCAUAAAAGCUGAGAAAUAGUCUCCAAGUCAGACUCUCUGUUGCUCUGUACACCAGCCUUGAGACUCUGGCAGUCCAGAGUGGGAAGUGUCCUUUAGGCUGAAUCAACCUGUGGGGACAUAGGGUGACACGCUGGGUUGGGUGGGUGUGGAAGUGGCCAGGGCUGGGCCUUGCACAGAGCUUCCCUCACAACAUUCUCAGUUAGGGGGACGUCCCUGGACCCUGGUGGGACUGAUUUCCUCCUGGGAAGCAGACUUACGUUUGUGGGCUUAGAAGAGACAUCACAUAUAGACUGUGGAGUGAGGGGGAAAACCAUGUAAGUGCCAUUAGCUUAGCCUUUAUUAAGAUGUUGCAAAGUAGGAAGAGUUCCAGAAUGUUCUGUAGGGAGCCAGGAACUGAAAGAUGUGUAGGUAAGAUUGGGAAGGUCAGUCAGAGCUCACCUUGCUCGGGUAAUUAGGCACUAUUCAAAUUCUCAGGGUCUGAGGACACUGAGGUUGUGUUAGUAGGGAAUAGGAUGCAGGGGCUGCGAGUCUGCAGACCCUGAGCUGUGCUUUGGUGAAGCUGCAUUUACCAUUUGGGAUGGAGAGGAACAGUAGGGAGUUAAGGUCUUUCCAGAAUCAGUGGGAAUUUUUCAGUUCUCUGCAUCUUUCACACAACCUACUUGGUAAAGGAACGAGGAAAAGGAGAGUGAGGCAACCAAUGACCUUCACCUCAGGUGCUGAACUGUCGGGGGCCAGGAGCUGAGAACUGAGUCUGGGGGAGGGGCACGCGGCCAGGGACUGGGAACACCGGCUGGGAGCGGGGAUGCCCCAGAGGCGGGGUGGCUUGCUUUUUGGGGGGCACCAUGCAAGUCUCUUGGAUUCUGGUGCAGCCCUCAGGGUGGAGGGGCUGACACUGGAUGAGAUUGAAUUUCCCACAACCCAGGGGGAUUGUGGCUCAGAUUUACAGUAAAUAAAAACAGGGAUUUUUUUCCACACUUUUUUUUUAGGAUGCUAUUUGAUGAGUUUUGCCUUAUAUAUUCCCAUGAAACUGUCACCACAAUUGAAAUAAUGAAUGUAUGCACUGCCCCCAAAAGUGUCCUCACUUCCUCCAGCCCCUCUGUGCCUCCCCCCAGGUCCCUACAAUGACUGAUCUGCUCUGUCACUUAAAGAUUAGUUUGCAUUUUUGAGGAUUUUUAUAAAAAUGGAAUCAUACAAUAGACAUUCUUAUUUUCCCCUCUGGCUUCUUUCUUUCAGCAUAAUUAUUUCCAGAUUUAAUCAUGUUGCUACAGAUGCCAGUGAUUCACUCCAUUUCAUUGCCUGGUAGUAUUUCAUUACAUGGCUAUAGGACAAUUUGUUUAUUCAUUCCCUUGUUGAUGGACAUUUGAGUUGCUUGCAGUUUGGGGCUGUCACAAAUAAAUCUGCUAUGAACAUGUCGUGUAAGUCCUUGUACAGACAAAUGCUUCCAAUUCUUCAGGAAACUUUCUAGGAGUGGAAUGGCUGGAUAGAGGUGUAAGUGAAUGUUUAACAUUUAAGGAAACUGUCAAAUUGUUUUCAGAGUGUGUGUGCCAUUUAACAUCCCCACCAGCUGAGUAUGAGACUUGCACUUGCUCCACAUCCUCACCAGCAGUUGGUGGCGUCAGUCUUUUUCAUCUCAGCCCUUGUAAUAGAACUUCCAAUGUAAUGCCGAAGACAGGGAGUGAGAGUGGACAGCCUUGCCUUGUUAGGGGCAGAGCAUUCAGUCUUUCACCACUCUUAGUGGUUGAAGACAGUUGGAGGAUCCCUUGCCUGGCUUCUGCUGUGUGGUCACCUCUUCUUAUCACAGAGGGCACCCACACCACACAAGAAGAGAGUGCCCCAGGAGAAUCAGAAGAUUCUGAGCAAGCACUCUCAUAAACACUUUGGUGUUUUCACUUUCUUGGAUGUGGUCAAUGACUGUGGUGCCCACAUUUCACUGUUCCAGUUUCAACUCCAGCAGUUGAUGGAUUUACUGUCUUGGACAUCUCAGAAAAAGACCAAGCAGCAUUCUUCCUUACUCAUUAGGUACUCUAUGUACUCAAAGUACGGUAGAAGGUAAUUGCAAGUGUGUGAGCCUUUCCAAAGCUUUUCUAAGUUGAAAUUAAUUUAUUCAGUCAAUAAAUAUUUAUUGAGCAUGUUAUUGAUGGUGCUUCCAAGAAUUUAUCAUAGUGAAUAAAAGUAACCUGCAUGUACA
Long non-coding RNA from Equus caballus (horse), 2795 nucleotides. The record is from Ensembl. Lineage: Eukaryota; Metazoa; Chordata; Mammalia; Perissodactyla; Equidae.